UGUAAGAAAGACUAAGGG
Molecule: transfer RNA, 18 nt
Filed under: Oulophyllia bennettae
Lineage: Eukaryota; Metazoa; Cnidaria; Anthozoa; Scleractinia; Merulinidae
Description: partial tRNA-Met
Source: RNAcentral